Molecule: long non-coding RNA, 1035 nt
Filed under: Anas platyrhynchos platyrhynchos (common mallard)
Lineage: Eukaryota; Metazoa; Chordata; Aves; Anseriformes; Anatidae
Description: lncRNA (ENSAPLG00000026574.1)
Source: RNAcentral
AUGCACAGAACAUGCUGUGAUGCUGAGUUUCCUUCCCCACUGAGUGCUGCAGAUUAUACAGUGGGAAGAUUAUCUGCUAGCAAAAGCUCCUGUCUAAAACUGAAGUCCAGAGAUGCACAUUAUCUGAGGAUCUGCCCCAGAAACUGCAAAACAAAGAGCUUCAGCAGAGCCUGCACUGAAAAAUACAGCAGGUAUUCCUCCUGUUCACCAAAAAACCUCAAAGCCAAAAUGAGUACCCACCACUAUGUCUGUCAUAUUUCAGUCAUUCCUGGUGCCAGCAACUCAGAACACGUCUGCAGUGCUGACCUGCACAGUGGUCGUCAUGCUCCAUGCCUGCAUCCUCCUGACACUGAAGUUAUCUGCUGCAGGUAGAACACUUUCCAAUACAGUUCUCACACACAGAAGGAAAAAAAAAAAAAAAAAAAGCCUGCUUCCUGAAAAUGAGCCAAGAUUACAAAGAUACAAUUUUAUAGCCUUUAAUUAAGCAAAGAGCUACAAUCACCAAUGCCUUUCUCCAGUCUCCUUCUUCAGAAUUUAAAAGCAACCUUUUUUUUUUUUACUUUUUUUUUUUUUUUUAAUGCAGGUAAACAUUAUUUGGAAAGGAUUUCAGGAUUUCUACAUCACGGACUCCAUCUAUACCAAUAACUAAUCUGUUGGAAAAAUUCCUUCUCAGAAGAGCCCAGCCUGCCCCAUUUCAAUUGGUGACCAGAGCUCUGUCAAUGGAUUUAUGAUGUGACGUCAGUCCCAAGGCUCAAGUGGCAACUUUUGUAUUUUCAUGCAUUGUUUAAUAAGCUGUUCACUUCCCUUCUCUAACCCAAACUUUAUUAAAAGGGGGAAGAUGCACUCGAGUGUUUCUCCAGAGAAGACAGGCCAUUUAGACUUGAUACUGAAAAGUGAUUCCCCAUGGUAAGGAAAUGAAGAACUGCAAAGUGCUUAGAGAGACAUAUUUAAUACCUUAAACUCUUACUUUGAGUUAACAACAAGCAUGGUCUUGGCUUUAAGGAAAUAAAUCGAUUCUCAGGCUCCCUUAUUUCA